AGAGUUUGAUCAUGGCUCAGGAUGAACGCUAGCGGCAGGCUUAAUACAUGCAAGUCGAGGGGCAGCGGGGGUAGCAAUACCUGCCGGCGACCGGCAAACGGGUGCGGAACACGUACACAACUUUCCUUUAAGUGGGGGAUAGCCCAGAGAAAUUUGGAUUAAUACCCCGUAACAUUAUGAGACGGCAUCGUUUUAUAAUUAAAGCUCCGGCGCUUAAAGAUGGGUGUGCGGCUGAUUAGGUAGUUGGCGGGGUAACGGCCCACCAAGCCUUCGAUCAGUAACUGGUGUGAGAGCACGACCAGUCACACGGGCACUGAGACACGGGCCCGACUCCUACGGGAGGCAGCAGUAAGGAAUAUUGGUCAAUGGACGCAAGUCUGAACCAGCCAUGCCGCGUGAAGGAUGAAGGUCCUCUGGAUUGUAAACUUCUUUUAUUUGGGAAGAAAUCCAUUUUUUCUAAAGUGGUUGACGGUACCAGAUGAAUAAGCACCGGCUAACUCCGUGCCAGCAGCCGCGGUAAUACGGAGGGUGCAAGCGUUAUCCGGAUUCACUGGGUUUAAAGGGUGCGUAGGUGGGCAGGUAAGUCAGUGGUGAAAUCUCCGGGCUUAACCCGGAAACUGCCAUUGAUACUAUCUGUCUUGAAUACCGUGGAGGUGAGCGGAAUAUGUCAUGUAGCGGUGAAAUGCUUAGAUAUGACAUAGAACACCAAUUGCGAAGGCAGCUCACUACGCGAAUAUUGACACUGAGGCACGAAAGCGUGGGGAUCAAACAGGAUUAGAUACCCCCGUAGUCC
Molecule: ribosomal RNA, 793 nt
Filed under: uncultured Chitinophagaceae bacterium
Lineage: Bacteria; Pseudomonadati; Bacteroidota; Chitinophagia; Chitinophagales; Chitinophagaceae
Description: bacterial SSU rRNA
Rfam family: Bacterial small subunit ribosomal RNA
Source: RNAcentral